CAAGACAUGAAGUCAGGUCAGCAAACCCGCCGAAUUUAAGCAUAUAAGUAAGCGGAGGAAAAGAAACUAAAUAGGAUUCCCUUA
RNAcentral lists this ribosomal RNA (84 nucleotides) under cryptoperidiniopsoid sp. clone A5. RNAcentral's name for it is "partial large subunit ribosomal RNA". It matches the Rfam family "Eukaryotic large subunit ribosomal RNA", at positions 1 to 82 of the family's 3401-position model. Lineage: Eukaryota; Dinophyceae; Peridiniales; Pfiesteriaceae. The record is from RNAcentral.